GGUUAAGCGACUAAGCGUACACGGUGGAUGCCCUGGCAGUCAGAGGCGAUGAAGGACGUGCUAAUCUGCGAUAAGCGUCGGUAAGGUGAUAUGAACCGUUAUAACCGGCGAUUUCCGAAUGGGGAAACCCAGUGUGAUUCGUCACACUAUCAUUAACUGAAUCCAUAGGUUAAUGAGGCGAACCGGGGGAACUGAAACAUCUAAGUACCCCGAGGAAAAGAAAUCAACCGAGAUUCCCCCAGUAGCGGCGAGCGAACGGGGAGCAGCCCAGAGCCUGAAUCAGUGUGUGUGUUAGUGGAAGCGUCUGGAAAGGCGCGCGAUACAGGGUGACAGCCCCGUACACAAAAAUGCACAUGCUGUGAGCUCGAUGAGUAGGGCGGGACACGUGGUAUCCUGUCUGAAUAUGGGGGGACCAUCCUCCAAGGCUAAAUACUCCUGACUGACCGAUAGUGAACCAGUACCGUGAGGGAAAGGCGAAAAGAACCCCGGCGAGGGGAGUGAAAAAGAACCUGAAACCGUGUACGUACAAGCAGUGGGAGCACGCUUAGGCGUGUGACUGCGUACCUUUUGUAUAAUGGGUCAGCGACUUAUAUUCUGUAGCAAGGUUAACCGAAUAGGGGAGCCGAAGGGAAACCGAGUCUUAACUGGGCGUUAAGUUGCAGGGUAUAGACCCGAAACCCGGUGAUCUAGCCAUGGGCAGGUUGAAGGUUGGGUAACACUAACUGGAGGACCGAACCGACUAAUGUUGAAAAAUUAGCGGAUGACUUGUGGCUGGGGGUGAAAGGCCAAUCAAACCGGGAGAUAGCUGGUUCUCCCCGAAAGCUAUUUAGGUAGCGCCUCGUGAAUUCAUCUCCGGGGGUAGAGCACUGUUUCGGCAAGGGGGUCAUCCCGACUUACCAACCCGAUGCAAACUGCGAAUACCGGAGAAUGUUAUCACGGGAGACACACGGCGGGUGCUAACGUCCGUCGUGAAGAGGGAAACAACCCAGACCGCCAGCUAAGGUCCCAAAGUCAUGGUUAAGUGGGAAACGAUGUGGGAAGGCCCAGACAGCCAGGAUGUUGGCUUAGAAGCAGCCAUCAUUUAAAGAAAGCGUAAUAGCUCACUGGUCGAGUCGGCCUGCGCGGAAGAUGUAACGGGGCUAAACCAUGCACCGAAGCUGCGGCAGCGACGCUGAUGCGUUGUUGGGUAGGGGAGCGUUCUGUAAGCCUGCGAAGGUGUGCUGUGAGGCAUGCUGGAGGUAUCAGAAGUGCGAAUGCUGACAUAAGUAACGAUAAAGCGGGUGAAAAGCCCGCUCGCCGGAAGACCAAGGGUUCCUGUCCAACGUUAAUCGGGGCAGGGUGAGUCGACCCCUAAGGCGAGGCCGAAAGGCGUAGUCGAUGGGAAACAGGUUAAUAUUCCUGUACUUGGUGUUACUGCGAAGGGGGGACGGAGAAGGCUAUGUUGGCCGGGCGACGGUUGUCCCGGUUUAAGCGUGUAGGCUGGUUUUCCAGGCAAAUCCGGAAAAUCAAGGCUGAGGCGUGAUGACGAGGCACUACGGUGCUGAAGCAACAAAUGCCCUGCUUCCAGGAAAAGCCUCUAAGCAUCAGGUAACAUCAAAUCGUACCCCAAACCGACACAGGUGGUCAGGUAGAGAAUACCAAGGCGCUUGAGAGAACUCGGGUGAAGGAACUAGGCAAAAUGGUGCCGUAACUUCGGGAGAAGGCACGCUGAUAUGUAGGUGAAGUCCCUCGCGGAUGGAGCUGAAAUCAGUCGAAGAUACCAGCUGGCUGCAACUGUUUAUUAAAAACACAGCACUGUGCAAACACGAAAGUGGACGUAUACGGUGUGACGCCUGCCCGGUGCCGGAAGGUUAAUUGAUGGGGUCAGCGCAAGCGAAGCUCUUGAUCGAAGCCCCGGUAAACGGCGGCCGUAACUAUAACGGUCCUAAGGUAGCGAAAUUCCUUGUCGGGUAAGUUCCGACCUGCACGAAUGGCGUAAUGAUGGCCAGGCUGUCUCCACCCGAGACUCAGUGAAAUUGAACUCGCUGUGAAGAUGCAGUGUACCCGCGGCAAGACGGAAAGACCCCGUGAACCUUUACUAUAGCUUGACACUGAACAUUGAGCCUUGAUGUGUAGGAUAGGUGGGAGGCUUUGAAGUGUGGACGCCAGUCUGCAUGGAGCCGACCUUGAAAUACCACCCUUUAAUGUUUGAUGUUCUAACGU
Molecule: ribosomal RNA, 2202 nt
Filed under: Escherichia coli
Lineage: Bacteria; Pseudomonadati; Pseudomonadota; Gammaproteobacteria; Enterobacterales; Enterobacteriaceae
Description: partial 23S ribosomal RNA
Rfam family: Bacterial large subunit ribosomal RNA
Source: RNAcentral